Molecule: long non-coding RNA, 1154 nt
Organism: Eupeodes corollae
Lineage: Eukaryota; Metazoa; Arthropoda; Insecta; Diptera; Syrphidae
Exons: 3
Source: RefSeq, a predicted model, not a curated record
CAUUUGAAGGAUCCUACCGUUAAAAAGUGGAUUACUGCAAGCCUAAACUGUUCCGAAGAAAAUAGAAAAGCUAUUGGGCUUCUAGUACUACCGUACUUAUUUCCCUCAACAAAAAUAAAGGCCAGGCAAGGAAAACAAAGUUUUAAGGCGUCAAAACUUGAAAUUCAAGAAAAAUUUAUUCUAUAUUUCGAAACUUUGGGAAAAGCUGAUGACUUCGAAAGACAGUUAUUAAAUAGCAAUGUCGGACUACAACCACGAAUUAUAUUUGUGGGAGAAUUUAAUUGUUUGAAGGCGUAUGUAACGCUAACGGAUAAAAAAUAUGCCUUUGAGAAUCCUCUUGAUGCUGUCCAACAAUGUUUCUAUAUGUAUCAGGCAUAACAUAUAAAAUAUCCUGCUGAAAGCACGUCCGUGUGGACUUUCAUUCAAAUCUACAUCUUUAAUGUCAAAACCAAAUUUGACCAAGUAUCGUCCAGCAUAAAGUCGAUUUGGAGAAGUCUAAAAAAGUAAAUAUUAUAUUAAGAUAUUGUAUGCAUGACUUAUUAGAAGGAGUUUGUCAUUAUGACCUUAGAAAUGUUUUAAAGUACCUUAUCUUAAAAUAUAAUUUUUUUCCUGUGCAACAACUCGAAUAGAAAUAUUCAACUUUGGUCGAUAACACAAAAAUCACCUCUUUUGUAUCUAUUUUUAAGAGACAUCACAUUAAUUCAACUGAAUUUUUGAGGAAAAUAAACACCAAACUUUCAAAAAAUGUGGUUUUACUCCAAGAAAAAGAAUAAAUAAACUUAAACAUCAAUUCAAAAUUUAAAAUUUAUUAUUAAAUGAAAACGAAAUUUUUUUAAAUUUUUACGAUUAUGGCCCAACUUUUCAGUUAAAAUCAUCUGAAUUUUUUAAAUUCAAUUUCAAAUCAUCGGAUAAUAUUUUGAAAGUUUAAUUUGUAAUUCUUUAAGGUAUUUUAUAAAAAGAGAAAUCGGUUGUAGUUAUAGGACUGUAAGAAAAUAAUGAUGUAAAAGCAAAUAAAACAUUUCAUUUGCGUUUAUCAUAUAUAGAGACUAUUUGUUUCGACAAUAAUUAUUUUGCUUACAAAAUUAAAAAAAAAAAUAAUUUGUUUUCAGUUUUCGAUCUAGAGCUUCUUCAAUACUUUCAUACUUCUUGUAAAC